Molecule: ribosomal RNA, 405 nt
Filed under: uncultured bacterium
Lineage: Bacteria
Description: bacterial SSU rRNA
Rfam family: Bacterial small subunit ribosomal RNA
Source: RNAcentral
UUGGGAAUAUUGGACAAUGGAGGGAACUCUGAUCCAGUGACGCCGCGUGAAGGAAGAAGGUCUUCGGAUUGUAAACUUAUUUUAUCAGGGAAGAAAGAAAUGACAGUACCUGAAGAAGAAGGACCGGCUAACUACGUGCCAGCAGCCGCGGUAAUACGUAGGGUCCGAGCGUUAUCCGGAUUUACUGGGUGUAAAGGGCGAGUAGACGGAACUGCAAGUCAGAUGUGAAAUGCUAGAGCUCAACUUUAGAACUGCAUCUGAAACUGUGGAACUAGAGUGCAGGAGAGGUAAGCGGAAUUCCUAGUGUAGCGGUGAAAUGCGUAGAUAUUAGGAGGAACACCAGUGGCGAAGGCGGCUUACUGGACUGUAACUGACGUUGAGGCGCGAAAGUGUGGGGAGCAAACA